UGUUAUCAUUGUAUUUACCGA
RNAcentral lists this non-coding RNA (21 nucleotides) under Caenorhabditis elegans. The record is from RNAcentral. Lineage: Eukaryota; Metazoa; Nematoda; Chromadorea; Rhabditida; Rhabditidae.